RNAcentral lists this ribosomal RNA (275 nucleotides) under uncultured Peredibacter sp. RNAcentral describes it as "partial 16S ribosomal RNA". It matches the Rfam family "Bacterial small subunit ribosomal RNA", at positions 338 to 604 of the family's 1533-position model. The record is from RNAcentral. Lineage: Bacteria; Pseudomonadati; Bdellovibrionota; Bacteriovoracia; Bacteriovoracales; Bacteriovoracaceae.
CCUACGGGUGGCUGCAGUAGGGAAUAUUGCGCAAUGGGGGAAACCCUGACGCAGCAACGCCGCGUGAGUGAGGAAGGUCUUCGGAUUGUAAAACUCUGUUCUUAGGGAAAAAUGUCCUUAUGGCUAAUAUCCAUGAGGAGUGAUGGUACCUAAGUAGAAAGCACCGGCUAACUUCGUGCCAGCAGCCGCGGUAAUACGAAGGGUGCAAGCGUUGUUCGGAAUCAUUGGGCGUAAAGCGCGCGCAGGCGGAUCAGCAAGUCAGAUGUGAAAUCUCG